This is a non-coding RNA of Parelaphostrongylus tenuis, 72 nucleotides long. NCBI's taxonomy places the organism in Eukaryota, Metazoa, Nematoda, Chromadorea, Rhabditida, Metastrongylidae. The record is from the annotation of a GenBank genome assembly.
GGCAUCGUUAGUGUAGUGGUAGCACGCGCCUCCGCUAUGGGUGAGCGCGACUUCGACUCUCGUCUGACGUCG